This 1130-nucleotide ribosomal RNA is filed under the name Leuconostoc mesenteroides. RNAcentral describes it as "bacterial SSU rRNA". It matches the Rfam family "Bacterial small subunit ribosomal RNA", at positions 170 to 1281 of the family's 1533-position model. Lineage: Bacteria; Bacillati; Bacillota; Bacilli; Lactobacillales; Lactobacillaceae. The record is from RNAcentral.
CUUAAUGUCGCUUGUCAAAAGAUUUACCAGCGCUUCGUCGUCGCCUACAUCUGUUUCCAUCAGUGCAUUACCUGAGUUUAUUGGUGAUAAAUGCCCACCAAGAGAAUGAUGCAUAUCCCACUUGCUUCACUGAUCGGCCACGUUGGGACUGAGACCCGUCCCAAACUCCUACGGGAGGCUGCAGUAGGGAAUCUUCCACAAUGUGCGAAAGCCUGAUGGAGCAACGCCGCGCGUGUGAUGAAAGCUUUCCGGUCGUAACGCUCUGUUGUAUGGGAAGAACAGCUAGAAUAUGAAAUGAUUUUUGUUUGACUGUACCAUACCCGAAAUGGACGGCUAAAUACGUGCCAGCACCCGCGGUAAUACGUAUGUCCCGUGCGUUAUCCGGAUUUAUUGGGCGUAAAGCCAGCGCAGACGGCUUAUUAAGUCUGAUGUUAAAGCCCGGAGCUCGACUCCGGAAUGGCAUUGGAAACUGGUUAACUUGAGUGCAAUAAAGGUAAGUGGAACUCCAUGUGUAGCGGUGGAAUGCGUAAAUAUAUGGAACAACACCAGUGGCUAAGGCGGCUUACUGGACUGCAACUGACGUUGAGGCUCGAAAGUGUGGGUAGCAAACAGGAUUAGAUACCCUGGAGUCCACACCGUAAACGAUGAACACUAGGUGUUAGGAGGUUUCCGCCUCUUAUUGCCGAAGCUAACGCAUUAAGUGUUCCGCCUGGGGAGUACUACCGCAAGGUUGAAACUCAAAGGUAAUUGACCGGGGACCCGCACAAGCCGUGGAGCUUGUGGUUUAAUUGCGAAGCCACGCGAAGAACCUUACCAAGUCUUGACAUCCUUUGAAGCUUUUAAAUAUACAAAUGUUCUCUUCGAAAACAAAGUGACGGGUGGGGCAUGAGCGUCGUCCACUCCGGUCGUGACAGUUUGGGUUAAUCCCCCAACGACCCCUACCCCUUAUGUUUAUUUGCCCACCUUCCCAUGGGCCCUCUACCCGAACUGCCGGUGUCAAAACGGAAAGAAGGGGGGGAACAAACCUCUAAUCUUCUUUCCCCCUUUUUGACCUGGGGGUAUAAACCUUGCUCCAAGGGCUGAUGCAACGGAAUUUGCCACCCCCCCAUGGUGGAACCAUUCCUCUUAAA